CAAUGCCCUUAUCCAAAGUUUCUGUAGGAUGAAUAAGCUUCAGAAGGCACAGAAACUUCUCAUUAGCAUGUUGACAUUGGAUUUAUGUCCCGACAAUUUUACCUACUGUGCUUUUAUCAAGGCA
RNAcentral lists this microRNA precursor (124 nucleotides) under Daucus carota subsp. sativus. RNAcentral describes it as "sRNA DCAR_mi00162". The record is from RNAcentral. Lineage: Eukaryota; Viridiplantae; Streptophyta; Magnoliopsida; Apiales; Apiaceae.